GCUCUGCCUCUUUGAAUAUAUGAUAAAAUUAGAACAGUAUAGAGAAAAUUAGCAUAGCCUUGCACAAGGAUGUUCAAUCCAAAAAAAAAAAAUGUAAAGGAGCUCU
Molecule: non-coding RNA, 106 nt
Organism: Phoenix dactylifera (date palm)
Lineage: Eukaryota; Viridiplantae; Streptophyta; Magnoliopsida; Arecales; Arecaceae
Source: RefSeq, a predicted model, not a curated record